GUGCUCGCUUCAGCAUCAUAUAUACUAAAAUUGGAAUGAUACAAGAUUAGCAUGGCCCCUGCACAAGAAUGACAUGCAAAUUCAUGAAGCGUUCCAUAUAUUU
Small nuclear RNA from Saimiri boliviensis boliviensis (Bolivian squirrel monkey), 103 nucleotides. The record is from Ensembl. NCBI's taxonomy places the organism in Eukaryota, Metazoa, Chordata, Mammalia, Primates, Cebidae.